GGACUACCCGGGUAUCUAAUCCCGUUCGCUCCCCUGGCUUUCGCGCCUCAGCGUCAGAAGGGGUCCAGCGAGCCGCCUUCGCCACCGGAGUUCCGCUGGAUAUCAACGCAUUUCACCGCUCCACCCAGCGUUCCGCUCGCCCCUACCCCCCUCGAGGCCGGCGGUAUCCGAGGCCGUUCCCCCGUUGAGCGGGGGGAUUUCACCCCGGACCGUCCGGCCCGCCUACGCGCCCUUUAAGCCCAGUGAUUCCGAACAACGUUCGCACGGUUCGUCUUACCGCGGCUGCUGGCAC
RNAcentral lists this ribosomal RNA (292 nucleotides) under uncultured Planctomycetota bacterium. RNAcentral describes it as "uncultured planctomycete partial 16S ribosomal RNA". The record is from RNAcentral. Lineage: Bacteria; Pseudomonadati; Planctomycetota.